CGGUUAUGUAUCGUCUUGACUCAGAAUUAGUUUGAACCUCAAAGUCUUCACGUGCAUUAGAAUUCACAUAGUUUUCUACUUUUUUCUGUUUAUUCAUCUCAUUUUUGUUUUUACUUAAAUCUAGCUUUCUUUUAAUAUAUUGCCUUUUUUGAUUAUCUUUAAAUGUUUUUUAAUGAGUUUGCUUGUAUAUAGCAUUUGACAUUUUUGAUGAUUGUACAACUUUUUCAGGAUGUGACAGUCGGUAUGUUGCAUUGGCUUUCUUCAAAGACUCUUUUACUUUUUUAGGAUUUAAACGUCUGUACGUUGCAUUUGCUUUUUGCCAAGAUUCCUUAAUUUUUUGAGAAUGAGAAUUCUUAUAUUUUUUGUUAUAAGACUUUCUUCUCUGAGAUUCUUUUUUUUUAAAUUCACUAUCGUUUCUCCUUUUUUUCAUGUAUUCUUUCAUGUAUUUUUUCUCUUUUCCAACUUGUUGUUUGUAUCAGGUUGGCAAAAUUGUGUAUUUUGCGAGCAUAUGUUUGGUUUGUUAGUUUUGUUUUUUUCUGUUGUUUCAUUAACACUCUGUGUAGGCCUAAUAGGCGUUGUUGACACAUAAUGCAGUUCAUCAAGAUGUCCGACAUAAAUGUCUCUUAUGUUUGCUACAGAUUCAGCAUAAACAGAGCUUACAACUGUUGAUUCUGAAAAAUUUGGGGCACUUUCAGUUAUGUGAAUUCUCAAAUUAUUCGAAUUCGCAACUGCCUGUAUAACAAUAUGAUCAGCCCAUGUACCUAGCAUUGACAUGUCCUGUAAAUAUUGUAUCCAAGAUUGACGUGUGUUACUUUCUAUAAAAUGUUCUGGGCAGUUUAUUAAAUGCUGGAUUGCGAGAGCUCUUAUUUGCGAAUGACAAUCUUCUGUUCUGUAAAGUUGGUGGCUUACACUACGAAAGAAACAAUUACCAUCACCAACAAUGUUUACUGGGUUUAGUCCUAUUCUAGCUAAUCUUGAUGUUAGAAUUGACAGUGGCGUAUUCGCAACAGGGCCUGGAUUCAAUUCUAUAUCACCACUCACAAAUAAAAAACAUCUGUCAGAUGUCUUUAGCCUUCGUUUGUUGCAUUUAUUUGUGCUUAGAGCCUUUCUUGACUUAAACAACUUGUGUUUUCUUGUCCUGAUUUUUAAUAUUUCCAAUUUGUGCAUUUUCAAUUUCUUAGCUUGACAUGGCUUCCUAAAUUUGCAGAAAUAUACAUUUGAAUUUGCUUGUCGCUGAAUGAAAUUUUUUCGGUAACUUGUUGAAAGCAAAUUAUGCCAAGAUGAUGAUUUGGGAAUUAACUGCCUUAUGAACUUUUUUACUUUACGCCUUUUUUUCUUAUUUUUUCUCAUAUAAACUAAUUUUUUCAUAGGAAUCCUAGAUGGUUCACGAUCACGCUUUUUAACAUAUACUAAAUGACUUAUACUUCGAAGUCUACUUCGAUUGAAAGUGUUAGACUCAUUAUAAUCCAAAUGCUUGUUUUGUAUUGUUAACAUAAGUAAAACUUCACUUUUUAUUUUUGCACAGGUAUCAUUGCUUUCUGAGAGUGAAGUAAGAAAUGUUUCGAAAUUACAAGUAUCGUUGACCUUUGACUUUUUCCCAAGGUCACCUUCAAUAUUGUAUUGACUAAUAACUGUUUCACAUAUGCGUAAUUGUUCUUUUUCAUAUAAAGUUUUGAUAGUUUCUGAUAAGUUCUCAUAGUUGCUCAUAAGUGCUAAUAGUUUCUCAUAAGUUCUCGAUAGUUUCUCUCUCAAUCGAACACGAUUUUGCACCGUUGUGCUAGACCCGUGAACAAGGUCCGUGUCGAUAACACGUGGGCUAUCUCCUUGCCUUGCUCCUCGAUUACAUAAGGCUCGCUGGCAAGUCAAGCGAUUGUCGAUAGCACACCGGCUAUCUCCUCGUC
This 1901-nucleotide long non-coding RNA is filed under the name Paramuricea clavata. Lineage: Eukaryota; Metazoa; Cnidaria; Anthozoa; Malacalcyonacea; Plexauridae. The record is from RNAcentral.